This 236-nucleotide ribosomal RNA is filed under the name uncultured Candidatus Saccharibacteria bacterium. RNAcentral describes it as "partial 16S ribosomal RNA". It matches the Rfam family "Bacterial small subunit ribosomal RNA", at positions 584 to 818 of the family's 1533-position model. Lineage: Bacteria; Candidatus Saccharimonadota. The record is from RNAcentral.
AAAGCGAAUGGUGAAAUCUGGGGGCUCAACCUCACAGGCUAUUAUUCAAACUCACAGACUCGAGAAUGGUAGAGGUAACUGGAAUUUCUUGUGUAGGAGUGAAAUCCGUAGAUAUAAGAAGGAACACCAAUGGCGUAGGCAGGUUACUGGGCUAUUUCUGACACUGAGGCACGAAAGCGUGGGGAGCGAACCGGAUUAGAUACCCGGGUAGUCCACGCCGUAAACUAUGGAUACUA